RNAcentral lists this ribosomal RNA (731 nucleotides) under uncultured archaeon. Its description in RNAcentral is "bacterial SSU rRNA". It matches the Rfam family "Archaeal small subunit ribosomal RNA", at positions 53 to 793 of the family's 1478-position model. The record is from RNAcentral.
GCGAGUCACAUAGCAAUAUGUGGCAUACGGCUCAGUAACACGUAGUCAACAUGCCCAGGGGACGUGGAUAACCUCGGGAAACUGAGGAUAAACCGCGAUAGGUCAUCACUUCUGGAAUGGGUAAUGACUUAAAUCUAUAUGGCCCCUGGAUUGGACUGCGGCCGAUCAGGCUGUUGGUGAGGUAAUGGCCCACCAAACCUGUAACCGGUACGGGCUCUGAGAGGAGGAGCCCGGAGAUGGGCACUGAGACAAGGGCCCAGGCCCUAUGGGGCGCAGCAGGCGCGAAACCUCUGCAAUAGGCGAAAGCUUGACAGGGUUACUCUGAGUGAUUUCCGUUAAGGAGAUCUUUUGGCACCUCUAAAAAUGGUGCAGAAUAAGGGGUGGGCAAGUCUGGUGUCAGCCGCCGCGGUAAUACCAGCACCCCGAGUGGUCGGGACGUUUAUUGGGCCUAAAGCAUCCGUAGCCGGUUCUACAAGUCUUCCGUUAAAUCCACCUGCUUAACAGAUGGGCUGCGGAAGAUACUAUAGAGCUAGGAGGCGGGAGAGGCAAGCGGUACUCGAUGGGUAGGGGUAAAAUCCGUUGAUCCAUUGAAGACCACCAGUGGCGAAGGCGGCUUGCCAGAACGCGCUCGACGGUGAGGGAUGAAAGCUGGGGGAGCAAACCGGAUUAGAUACCCGGGUAGUCCCAGCUGUAAACGAUGCAGACUCGGUGAUGAGUUGGCUUAUUGCUAA